This 290-nucleotide small RNA is filed under the name Paenarthrobacter ilicis. RNAcentral's name for it is "5' ureB small RNA". It matches the Rfam family "5' ureB small RNA". Lineage: Bacteria; Bacillati; Actinomycetota; Actinomycetes; Micrococcales; Micrococcaceae. The record is from RNAcentral.
CCGUGGGUACCUGCUCUGGCGAGAUGAAGUGGAUGUGGGUGUCGAUCCCGCCGGCAGUGAGGAUCUUGCGCUCACCGGCAAUGAUCUCGGUGCUGGAGCCAAUAAUGAUCGUGACGCCGUCCGUGAUCUGCGGAUUGCCGGCCUUGCCAAUCUUGAAAAUAUGGCCAUCCUUGAGGGCCACGUCCGCCUUGUAGAUGCCCGUGUAAUCAAGGACGAUCACGUUGGUGAUCACGGUGUCCGGGAUGUCCUCCGCCCGCGUGAGCUGCCCGUUCUGGCCCAUGCCAUCGCGG